RNAcentral lists this transfer RNA (70 nucleotides) under Loxodonta africana (African savanna elephant). It matches the Rfam family "tRNA". From Rfam's summary of the family: Transfer RNA (tRNA) molecules are approximately 80 nucleotides in length. The record is from Rfam by way of RNAcentral. Lineage: Eukaryota; Metazoa; Chordata; Mammalia; Proboscidea; Elephantidae.
GCAUUGGUUGUUCAGUGGUAGAAUUCUUGCUUCCACAGAAGAGGCCCAGGUUCAAUUCCCAGCCAAUGCA